CGUGUAGGCGGGUAGAUAAGUCGGGCGUGAAAUCCCUAGGCUCAACCUAGGAACUGCACUCGAAACUGUUUAUCUUGAGUGCCGGAGAGGAAAGCGGAAUUCCUGGUGUAGAGGUGAAAUUCGUAGAUAUCAGGAGGAACACCAGUGGCGAAGGCGGCUUUCUGGACGGUAACUGACGCUGAGACGCGAAAGCGUGGGGAGCAAACA
This 207-nucleotide ribosomal RNA is filed under the name uncultured bacterium. RNAcentral describes it as "partial 16S ribosomal RNA". It matches the Rfam family "Bacterial small subunit ribosomal RNA", at positions 568 to 774 of the family's 1533-position model. The record is from RNAcentral.